Long non-coding RNA from Homo sapiens (human), 1045 nucleotides. Ensembl annotates it as MAF transcriptional regulator RNA. Its record names the gene MAFTRR. Lineage: Eukaryota; Metazoa; Chordata; Mammalia; Primates; Hominidae. The record is from Ensembl.
GGCGCGGCGUCGCGGAGCUCGGGCCGGUGGAAGGUUUACCUGCUAGGCUCGUCCCACCUGUGUGGAGCUCCCAUCGCCCUCCAGCGUUGCGCAGCCUGAAGGGACAGGACGGACAAGCGGGUGCCUCCUUCUAAUUCAUCUUCACCAUUGUGGUUGUCAAUAUGGCAUGCAGAAUUAUCCCUCUUUCCAGCUUCUGGAGUCUACCUGGAUUCCUGGGCUCAUGGCCCCUUCCUCCAUCUUCAAACCAGCAAUGGUGAGUUGAGUCUUUUUCACAUCACAUCUCUCUGUGAUCAUCUUCUGCCCUCUCCUCCAUUUUUAAAAACCUUUGUCGUUAGAUUGGACCUGCCUGAAUAAUCCAGGAUAAUCUUCCUAUUUUAAAUUGAGUAGAUGAACAACCUUAAUUUCAUCUGCCAUCUUAAUUCUUUGCCAAGGAAAGUAACAUAGUCACAGGUUCUGAAGAUUAGGGCAUGGAAAUCUUGGAAAAAGGGCACCAUUUUGCCUACUGUGAUUUCCAACUUAUCCUAUGAAGUAAAUCAUACCACGUAAAUUCCAAAUGCAAAGGAGUUCUUUUCCAUCUGUUUUUCUACAAAGAAAAACAACUGAAAUUGGCUUCAUACAACAAUUACAUGACUAAACUUCCAGUUAUAAAUUUAUAGUAGAAAGAGAAAGGUGUUUUCUGAUAAUGCAUUUUGGUUAAGAGCCAAAGAGUCUUCACUAAACAUUUGCUGAAAAUACUGUUAUAAACAAUGACUAUUAAAGUUAAAUAGUCAUCAAGUUAAGUAAAAUUCAAUUUAACUUAAAUAUUUAUUAGGAGUGAAAGCCAACAUAAAUGUUGAAAACUCAAAUCCUUAUUUCUCAACUGCCUCCUCAUUUUUCCACAAUGUAUUUCUGGCUGUUCGGAGGUAAUUUCCUAGGUUUUAUUAACCUGUAACAGAAGCAGUUUACAGCUGAAUCCAUGCCAGAGAAAAACUCAUUUGCAACCCGAUGUCGCAGCAUCCAGGGCCAAAGGGAUUGAAAGAAAAAAAAAAAGCAUGAACUCAGAAAA